Molecule: ribosomal RNA, 1107 nt
Filed under: Enterobacter sp.
Lineage: Bacteria; Pseudomonadati; Pseudomonadota; Gammaproteobacteria; Enterobacterales; Enterobacteriaceae
Description: bacterial SSU rRNA
Rfam family: Bacterial small subunit ribosomal RNA
Source: RNAcentral
GGCCGUGGCGCGGCUACCAUGCAGUCGAGCGGCAGCGGAAAGUAGCUUGCUACUUUGCCGGCGAGCGGCGGACGGGUGAGUAAUGUCUGGGAAACUGCCUGAUGGAGGGGGAUAACUACUGGAAACGGUAGCUAAUACCGCAUAACGUCGCAAGACCAAAGAGGGGGACCUUCGGGCCUCUUGCCAUCAGAUGUGCCCAGAUGGGAUUAGCUAGUAGGUGGGGUAACGGCUCACCUAGGCGACGAUCCCUAGCUGGUCUGAGAGGAUGACCAGCCACACUGGAACUGAGACACGGUCCAGACUCCUACGGGAGGCAGCAGUGGGGAAUAUUGCACAAUGGGCGCAAGCCUGAUGCAGCCAUGCCGCGUGUAUGAAGAAGGCCUUCGGGUUGUAAAGUACUUUCAGCGGGGAGGAAGGCGUUGAGGUUAAUAACCUCAGCGAUUGACGUUACCCGCAGAAGAAGCACCGGCUAACUCCGUGCCAGCAGCCGCGGUAAUACGGAGGGUGCAAGCGUUAAUCGGAAUUACUGGGCGUAAAGCGCACGCAGGCGGUCUGUCAAGUCGGAUGUGAAAUCCCCGGGCUCAACCUGGGAACUGCAUUCGAAACUGGCAGGCUAGAGUCUUGUAGAGGGGGGUAGAAUUCCAGGUGUAGCGGUGAAAUGCGUAGAGAUCUGGAGGAAUACCGGUGGCGAAGGCGGCCCCCUGGACAAAGACUGACGCUCAGGUGCGAAAGCGUGGGGAGCAAACAGGAUUAGAUACCCUGGUAGUCCACGCCGUAAACGAUGUCGACUUGGAGGUUGUGCCCUUGAGGCGUGGCUUCCGGAGCUAACGCGUUAAGUCGACCGCCUGGGGAGUACGGCCGCAGGUUAAAACUCAAUGAAUUGACGGGGGCCCGCACAAGCGUGGAGCAUGUGGUUUAUUCGAUGCAACGCGAGAACCUUACCUACUCUUGACAUCCAGAGAACUUUCCAGAGAUGGAUUGGUGCCUUCGGGAACUCUGAAACAGGUGCUGCAUGGCUGUCGUCAGCUCGUGUUGUGGAAUGUUGGGUUAAGUCCGCACGAGCGCACCCUUAAUCUUUUGUUGCCGCGGUCCGGCGGGAACUCAAGG